AUGCAAGACAGUUGGGCACAUGAAGACAGGGAAGCUAGAAGCGAAUGUUGUACGGGAAUGUCUGCAGCUGCAAAAAACUGUCUGAGAACAGACACAGAAACUCUUCCUCAAAGCAGCACAGAGCAACACACACUAAAAGUCUGCCUACGUGAUGAAGGAACUGGGUUAUGGCUGAUAGAAACUCUGCUCUAUGCAGAUAGCACACCUGGUCCCAACUAAAUCUUCGGGCCCUAGGAAGGCAAAACUGCUUUUGAAAAACAAAAUGUUCUGGUGGAUUUGGAGCCACAGUGAUACAGUGAUACUGGCACAGAGCUGAGGACACGCGUCCAGAACUGCUGCUUGAAAAUGUGAUAGUCAUUUUACUAAAAAUAAGGACAUUCUUUGCAAUUUCUAGAGGUAUGGAUGGAGGGAAAACUGCAGUUGUCCUUUGCUUCUCAAGUGCCCUUUCAUUUCCUGCUGUGUGCUGAUAUUUCAAAGCCUCCACAUGAAUUAAAGUUCCAAUGAGAUUUGCCAUAGCGGUUUCUUGGGAAUGGCCAUAAAUAUAUUUUUUUUUUGCUUUGUUUUUUGUUCUCAGCAGAAAGUGUUGUUUGUGGUUAUCCCUUUUUUAAAUUAUAUCUCUUUUCAAGAUCUGAAAAAUGAGCUUUUGUGUGUUUCAGGAAGUAAACAACUUUUUUUUCCUCUGCCUUGUACAGGGCUGAGAGGUUUUGCUUUUGGACAUGGAGCUGGAGUUUUCAAUUACUGAAUCUAGUGGAAGGUGACAGAGAACUCACUAAUGUUUUCCCCCUUUAAAUAAACGUUUUCUGCAUUUUUCCUGUGAGCGGUCAUUGUUUUAGCAGGUUAAUUAUUUCAGCACAUUAAAUGGUCCUUGUUCCUACACCCAGUGCACUGAGUAAUUUAGGGCAUUUCCUUGGAUUGAGACAACUCUUUGCUGCCCUCAGGAACAUUUCCCAAUUUGCUCAGAUUUUCAACCAUAGAGGGACUCAAAAGAUUUUACAAAAUAUAAAAAAAUAAAAAAUAGAUAACUUUAAAGGAGGAAAAAGAAUCAUACAAAUCAAACUGAAUACCAUGAAGCGUAACCCCUGCGGGGCUCUGGGUCACAAAGCAGUGAAUAUAUUACUCUCCAAGGCUUUGCAAAAUUAACUAUGGUGUACAGCUCCUAUUUUUUUCUACUUCUUUUUUUUUUUAAAAACAAAAAGAUUCCUUAAGGCAAAUACACACACACACACACACACAGACACACACACACACACACAGACACACACACACACAGACACACACACACAAAGUAGGAAUGCAAGGGCAUUUGCAAAUUCAAUUUCUUGCACUUUUUGUUUCCUGGGGAAUGUUGAGAAGUGUGGGAGGUUGACUAAUAUUGCUAUUUGGUAUCAGCCACAGAGGACUUAGCAGGUUACAAAUGUAUCAGCCACAGAGGACUUAGCAGGUUACAAAUGUACCAGCCACGUGAUGAACUUACUGAUGCUAAAUAUAGCUAAAGUUUAUUGAGUACUUAUUUGCCAGGCACAAGGUAAAUUCUACCCUUGUUACUCCAGUUCUCAUUUAAAUCUGAAACAACGGGCAGAGAUAAAUGUCAUUAUCUUACAGUGAGUCAGCCAAGGUAACAUGGCUGCCUUAGUCAGCUCGGAUUGCUAUAACAAAAUACCAUAAACUGAGUAGCUUAAACAACAGGAAUUUAUUUCUUACAGUUAUGUAGGCUGAAUAUUCAAGAUCCAAGUGCUGGCCGAUUCAGUCUGCCUGACUGGUAGACAGACACCUUCUUGCUGUGCCCUCAUAUGGUGAAGACAGAGCUCAUCUCUUUCCUGUCUCUUCUUACAAGGGCACUGAUCCCAUUCAUGAGAGUUCUACCUUCAUGAUAUAAUUACCAAGACCCAACCUCCAGAUUUCAUCACCCUGGGGGCUUCAAAACAUGAAUAUUUGGGGAGAGACAAAUUCAAUUUAUACAACAGUCAAUGAAGGACAGAGGCAGGAAUUUAAUGCCAGCCAACCUGGAUAGCAAAGGUUUGCUUUCUAUCUCUGUUAUAUUGGAUUCAACUACAAAAGUACCUAUAUCUGUCAUCAGUUCCUAUUACUUCCAUGUGCUUCCCAUGGACAGGAGUGCAAGUUUUUAAAUCUCAGCUGUCCAUUGAAAUAGUGCGUAAUCAUUUCAUGUAUUGUGCAAAACGUUUAACAAGGGGCACUAGAAUCCUAUGUGUUUAGAGUGUUUCAACAAAUAUUACAUUCUAUAUUAUUUGGAGUUCAACUGACAAAAACUAGUAGAAUAUAAAUUUUAACAAAGUUAUUCUAACAGGAAUUGUAAGGUGAAUGCCAGUAUCUGUUUGCUUUAAUAGCAUUUAGAAGUUUAUAGAAGUUUAAAAGCAUUAUAUUUUAUACUUUAAAAAAAGUAUUACAUUAUAUUUUACACCUAUUUUAUUAAAGUGGUAAAUGCAUUUACUACAUAAAAUACAGAAAAACAAAAAAUAAAAAAAAAUUAAAAUCAACCUAGAAUCAUAUAUUUAGUGAUAAUCACUGCUAUCAUGUUGAUUCAUCUCUUUCUUUUACUUAAUAUAUUAUAAAGAUGGCUGGACGUAGUGGCUUGAUGCCUGUAAUCCCAGCACUUUGGGAGGUCAGGAGUUUGAGAACAGCCUGGCCAACAUGGUGAAACCCCAUCUCUACUAAAGGUACAAAAGUUAGCUGGGCAUUGUGGCAUGGGCCUGUAGUCCCAGUUACAUCGGAGGCUGAGGCAGGAGAAUGGGGAGGCUGAGGCAGGAGAAUGGCUUGAACCGGGGAGGUGGAGGUUGCAGUGUGCCAACUCCAUGCCCCUGCUCUUCAGCCUGGGUGACUGAGCGAAACUCCAUCUCAAAAAAAAAAAAAAGAAAAGAAAAGAAAAAAGAAAAAAACAAAUACAUUCUUGUCUCAAAAUAGUCUAACAUAACAUUAUGUUGAAUGAUGACAAACAUUACAUUGUAUGGAUAUAGUAUCCUUUAUUUAACCAAUCGCUUAUUGUUGGAUGUUUUAUUUUUGUUUCAUAAUUGUUGAAAACAACACAGCCAUUAUCUUUGAAGGCAAACAUUUGUGUAUAUUUAUGAUUAUUUUCUUAAGAUAAUUUUUAAAAAGCAGAAUUUCAAGGUCAAAAGAUACAUAACGUAUUAGGACUUUUUCCUUCUGAAAAAAAACAUACUUUUUUUUUCAGCUUUCCAAUCUACUGUAAUGGAAAAAAUCAUACCAUACUAAGGCCCAUCAUCUAAGUAAGAGUGCCUGUUUCUCCUCCCUUGUUAACACUGGAUAUUAUCAAUUUUAAAGUCAUUACCAAUUUAAUAGGAUAAAAUUGUAUUUUGUCUUGUUUUAUUUUUCAUUUCUUUUAUCACUGUGAGACCAGGCAUCAUUUUGUGGUUUAUUAGCCAUUUAUAUUUCUCCUCAAAUUACAUUUUGAGAAGCAAGAUUUUAAAAUAUUGUUGGCUCAGUUUAAGCAAUACCAAAUAUUCUGAUGACAGGUCAAAAAAAAAAGUUUAGACUUUUUUUUUCUGGAGUCCUUUUCCUUUAUUUAGAUGCAAAAACCAUAGUCUUUUGGGUUUGUAGGGUAGCUUAAUGUUGACACCAUGUAGGUAUUGCCUUGGUUAGCUUGGUGUACUUUUCUGCUGAAUGUAUAUGCACAUGAUGGGUACUCAAUGAACAUUUGGAGAAACGUGCAAACUAAUGACUAAUAUGACCCAAAGUAGAACUUUUUCUGACCUGACCAAAACAUAAAAUGCUGAGUUGAGAGGUUAUUUGUGGCUGCAGAAAUAUUAUUGGCAGGUAGUCUGGGGCUAUCAAAUUUAGUUUCAUCUGUAAUUAAAUUAGAAACGGACAUUCUUUUCUCCAAAGAGACUGGUAUACCAAAUCCCGCCUUUGACAUUUGAUAGUAUUAAACAGGACUUUAGCCAAUGAAUAAAGUUUCUAUUUAUGGAAAAUGUCAAGGGAUAAGCAUGAAAGGGUAGUAAUAUCAUUGUUUUCUAUCUAACUAACUGAAUUGAACAUGAACAGUGAGACAAUUUCUGCCAAAUAAUAACAAAUGUUCUGUCCUGAGAAGCUGGAUUAAAGAUUUGUUAAAUCGUAAAAGAUCCAACAGAACUGCAAAACAAAUAUUUCAGAUGUGGGCAAUUAUAGGUUAAAAAAAAUCCCAUGGAAACAUGCAUAUGUUUGUCAAAAAGAAAGGAGCCUGUUCCUGAGUGGCCAAGAUAAAUCCAGCUAUUAUUCCCCUCUUUGUGGUUUGUGUAUUUUCCAGAAUUUGAAAAUUGUUAUUUGCAAUUGGAUUAUCCAUAUCCUGCAUCCUACCUCAUCAACCCUGCACAUGCAUUCAUGUGCAUACAUGUGUGCAUGCACGGACACACACACAGACACACACACACACACACACACCAGUUUAGGAUUGCAUGUUCCUCCACCAUGAAUUACUCAAAGUAACAGAGACUUUGCAUUUCAGUCCUCCAAUAUGAAUCUGGCACAGAGCAGGUACUCACUAAAUGUAAAUGUGGAUCAUGGAAUGAAAGAAGAAACCUGCCAAAGCACUCCAGAAUAAAGCAUUCAAGAGGCAGUCCUGGCAUUGUCACUGCUAUCUGUUAAGUGGGAAGUCUGAGGCUGAGUGGAGACUUUCUCAAGAUUAUAUAGCUAAUGAUAGAGCUAAGACUUGAAUGCAAAGCUGCUAUUCAUAGCAAAAAAAUUAUGUUGUUUUAAAUACAAACAAUACCUGUUUCUGCAUUUUUAAGUCUACUCCAUAUCAUGAAAGUGAAUUUAAUAAUAUUAUAAAGGUUAUCUUCCAUUCUAUAUUUAUACCUUGUUUCAUUUCCCAAAUAAUUCAGAGCAAAGUAUGACUG
RNAcentral lists this long non-coding RNA (4847 nucleotides) under Callithrix jacchus (white-tufted-ear marmoset). Its description in RNAcentral is "lncRNA (ENSCJAG00000084741.1)". Lineage: Eukaryota; Metazoa; Chordata; Mammalia; Primates; Cebidae. The record is from RNAcentral.